Molecule: ribosomal RNA, 220 nt
Filed under: uncultured fungus
Lineage: Eukaryota; Fungi
Description: partial 18S ribosomal RNA
Rfam family: Eukaryotic small subunit ribosomal RNA (bases 40-220)
Source: RNAcentral
GGGUCGGUAGGUUGGUCAUGCCUCAGGUAUGCACUGGUCUCACUGAUUCCUCCUUCCUGAUGAGCCGUAAUGCCAUUAAUUUGGUGUUGCGAGGAAUCUGGACUGUUACUUUGAAAAAUUAGAGUGUUUAAAGCAAGCUAACGCUUGAAUACAUUAGCAUGGAAUAAUGGAAUAGGACGUUCGAUCCUAUUUUGUUGGUUUCUAGGAUUGACGUAAUGAU